CCGGGCAUAACUUAGGAACUACAUUGCGAUGCGUAACGAUCGAGUGUGCGAGACGAUGGAGCAGUACUAGAACAGCGCGAAACGGAGCAGAGAUUAUAUAGGAUGUCCACGGCGUUCGCAGGUAUCUCACUUACGGGAUCCGAUGAGGUUCGAUACCAAGGGUGGACAAAAAAGUAGAUGAUCUGCUAGUGCAUGCGGUAUUCACAGUAUAUCUAACGAUUCGGCCUGUGAACAGUCAGGCGUCCCCCGACACGAUUAAUUGACCGCCUCGGGAGAUCUGUCGCAAGAGUAAAAAUCAAAGGAAUCGACGGGGGUCCGCACCAGCGGUGGAGCAUGUGGUUUAAUUUGAUGCAACGCGAAGAACCUCACCCGACCUAGACGGACUAGAAUCUUUCCACCGUUCUACCCGUGCCUUCGGGAAAAUGGAUACAGUUGCUCCAUGGAGCUCGUCAGCUCGUGUCGUGAGAUGUUGGGUUAAGUCCCGCAACGAGCGCAACCCUUUUCCUUACUUGCCAUCAUUUAGGAUUGGAACCUUAAGGAUACUGCCAGUGACAAGCUGGAGGAGGGGGGGGACGACGGUAAGUCAUCAUGGCCCUUUUUCCCAGGGCUACACACGUUUACAAUGGUCGGUCCAAAGGGUUGCUACCCAGCGAUGGGAUGCAAAUCUCAAAAAGCCGAUCGUAGUCCGCAUUUGGAGUUAAUCACUCGCCUCCCCGAAAUCGGAAUCCCUUGUAACCGCGGAUCACUCUCCCCCCGGCCAAUACUUUCCCGGCCUUCAACACACCGCCCG
RNAcentral lists this ribosomal RNA (790 nucleotides) under uncultured bacterium. RNAcentral's name for it is "bacterial SSU rRNA". The stretch from base 271 to 790 matches the Rfam family "Bacterial small subunit ribosomal RNA", at positions 875 to 1396 of the family's 1533-position model. The record is from RNAcentral.